CCUACGGGUGGCAGCAGUGAGGAAUAUUGGUCAAUGGGCGUAAGCCUGAACCAGCCAAGUCGCGUGUGGGAUGAAGGUCCUAUGGAUCGUAAACCCCUUUUAUAAGGGAAUAAAGUGUGGGACGAGUCCUAUUUUGCAUGUACCUUAUGAAUAAGGAUAGGAUAACUCCGUGCCAGCAGCCGCGGUAAUACGGUGGAUACGAGCGUUACCCGGAUUUAUUGGGUUUAAAGGGAGCGUAGGCGGCCUUUUAAGUCAGCGGUGAAAGUCUGUGGCUAAACCAUAGAAUUGCCGUUGAAACUGGGGGGCUUGAGUAUGUUUGAGGCAGGUAGAAUGCGUGGUGUAGCGGUGAAAUGCUUAGAUAUCACGCAGAACCCCGAUUGCGAAGGCAGCCUGCCAAGCCAUGACUGACGCUGAUGCACGAAAGCGUGGGGAUCAAACAGGAUUAGAUACCCCUGUAGUC
RNAcentral lists this ribosomal RNA (460 nucleotides) under uncultured bacterium. Its description in RNAcentral is "partial 16S ribosomal RNA". It matches the Rfam family "Bacterial small subunit ribosomal RNA", at positions 338 to 795 of the family's 1533-position model. The record is from RNAcentral.